Molecule: small nucleolar RNA, 106 nt
Filed under: Arabidopsis thaliana (thale cress)
Lineage: Eukaryota; Viridiplantae; Streptophyta; Magnoliopsida; Brassicales; Brassicaceae
Also listed under: 1 other name
Description: Plant small nucleolar RNA R71
Rfam family: Plant small nucleolar RNA R71
About the family: R71 is a member of the C/D box family of snoRNAs containing the C (UGAUGA) and D (CUGA) box motifs. Multiple nearly identical copies of this snoRNA have been identified in Arabidopsis, and it is thought to function as a 2'-O-ribose methylation guide for 18S ribosomal RNA.
Source: RNAcentral
AAGCCAUGAUGAGGGCAUUGGUUGGUGUAACCCUUGAAACGCUCCCAUGCUUCACAGAAGCUUUCACUAGCCUUCUAUAAAAAGACAGAGAUCUCAUUUCUGGCGU